CACUAUGCUCAGCCGUAAACCUUGAUAGAAUUCUACACCCACUAUCCGCCAGGGAACUACGAGCGUUAGCUUAAAACCCAAAGGACUUGGCGGUGCUUUAGACCCACCUAGAGGAGCCUGUUCUAGAACCGAUAACCCCCGUUAAACCUCACUCUCCCUUGUUUUUCCCGCCUAUAUACCGCCGUCGUCAGCUUACCCUGUGAAGGCCUCAUAGUAAGCAGAGUCAGUACAACUCAAAACGCCAGGUCGAGGUGUAGCAUAUGAGAGAGGAAGAAAUGGGCUACAUUCCCUACCACAGGGCAUACGGACAAUGUAAUGAAAUGUAUGUUAGAAGGAGAAUUUAGCAGUAAGCAAGAAAUAGAGUGUCUUGCUGAAGACGGCCCUGAAGCGCGCACACACCGCCCGUCACUCUCCCCGAAUAAAUCCUUUCAGUACCAAAAAAGCUAAAAAAACAAAGGGGAGGCAAGUCGUAA
Molecule: ribosomal RNA, 473 nt
Filed under: Hyporhamphus melanopterus
Lineage: Eukaryota; Metazoa; Chordata; Actinopteri; Beloniformes; Hemiramphidae
Description: partial small subunit ribosomal RNA
Rfam family: Bacterial small subunit ribosomal RNA
Source: RNAcentral